AUCGGGGUGCUGGAAGGCAUAGGGCUUUCCGGCUGAGAUCAAACCCGUUAACCUGAUCCGGAUAAUACCGGCGUAGGGAAGUUCAA
This 86-nucleotide non-coding RNA is filed under the name human gut metagenome. RNAcentral describes it as "TPP riboswitch (THI element)". It matches the Rfam family "TPP riboswitch aptamer (THI element)", at positions 10 to 89 of the family's 105-position model. Rfam says of the family: Vitamin B(1) in its active form thiamin pyrophosphate (TPP) is an essential coenzyme that is synthesised by coupling of pyrimidine and thiazole moieties in bacteria. The previously detected thiamin-regulatory element, thi box was extended, resulting in a new, highly conserved RNA secondary structure, the THI element, which is widely distributed in eubacteria and also occurs in some archaea. The record is from RNAcentral.